RNAcentral lists this ribosomal RNA (253 nucleotides) under uncultured bacterium. RNAcentral describes it as "partial 16S ribosomal RNA". It matches the Rfam family "Bacterial small subunit ribosomal RNA", at positions 524 to 776 of the family's 1533-position model. The record is from RNAcentral.
UACGUAGGGUGCGAGCGUUGUCCGGAAUUACUGGGCGUAAAGAGCUCGUAGGUGGUUUGUCGCGUUGUUCGUGAAAACUCACAGCUUAACUGUGGGCGUGCGGGCGAUACGGGCAGACUGGAGUACUGCAGGGGAGACUGGAAUUCCUGGUGUAGCGGUGGAAUGCGCAGAUAUCAGGAGGAACACCGGUGGCGAAGGCGGGUCUCUGGGCCGUUACUGACGCUGAGGAGCGAAAGCGUGGGGAGCGAACAGG